UCCUACGGGGAGGCAGCAGUGGGGAAUUUUGGACAAUGGGCGAAAGCCUGAUCCAGCAAUGCCGCGUGUGUGAAGAAGGCCUUCGGGUUGUAAAGCACUUUUGUCCGGAAAGAAAUCCUUGGCUCUAAUACAGUCGGGGGAUGACGGUACCGGAAGAAUAAGCACCGGCUAACUACGUGCCAGCAGCCGCGGUAAUACGUAGGGUGCGAGCGUUAAUCGGAAUUACUGGGCGUAAAGCGUGCGCAGGCGGUUUGCUAAGACCGAUGUGAAAUCCCCGGGCUCAACCUGGGAACUGCAUUGGUGACUGGCAGGCUAGAGUAUGGCAGAGGGGGGUAGAAUUCCACGUGUAGCAGUGAAAUGCGUAGAGAUGUGGAGGAAUACCGAUGGCGAAGGCAGCCCCCUGGGCCAAUACUGACGCUCANGCACG
Molecule: ribosomal RNA, 427 nt
Filed under: uncultured Burkholderia sp.
Lineage: Bacteria; Pseudomonadati; Pseudomonadota; Betaproteobacteria; Burkholderiales; Burkholderiaceae
Description: bacterial SSU rRNA
Rfam family: Bacterial small subunit ribosomal RNA
Source: RNAcentral